This 449-nucleotide ribosomal RNA is filed under the name uncultured bacterium. RNAcentral describes it as "partial 16S ribosomal RNA". It matches the Rfam family "Bacterial small subunit ribosomal RNA", at positions 331 to 795 of the family's 1533-position model. The record is from RNAcentral.
CCAGACUCCUACGGGAGGCAGCAGUGGGGAAUAUUGGGCAAUGGGCGCAAGCCUGACCCAGCAACGCCGCGUGAAGGAAGAAGGCUUUCGGGUUGUAAACUUCUUUUAAGAGGGAAGAGAAGAAGACGAUACCUCUUGAAUAAGCCACGGCUAACUACGUGCCAGCAGCCGCGGUAAUACGUAGGUGGCAAGCAUUGUCCGGAUUCACUGGGUGUAAAGGGAGCGUAGACGGCGACGCAAGUCUGGAGUGAAAGCCCGGGGCCCAACCCCGGGACUGCUCUGGAAACUGCGGCGCUGGAGUACGGGAGGGGCAGGCGGAAUUCCUGGUGUAGCGGUGAAAUGCGUAGAUAUCAGGAGGAACACCAGUGGCGAAGGCGGCCCGCUGGACGAUGACUGACGUUGAGGCUCGAAAGCGUGGGGAGCAAACAGGAUUAGAUACCCUCGUAAUC